GACUACCUGGGAUGUUCGCCAGCAAGCCGAUGUCCCUGAGCCGAUGCUAGUAAUCUAGGGGUUCACUGCGUGACCAUUGUGCAAGCUCGACCAGUAUCGAGAAGCCUUAAGUCACGCUUAUUGCGCCCCGCCUUGAACCAGUGGGUUCAAGGGCCAAGGCACCGCAGCGGCAUUCUGGGUAGUCA
RNAcentral lists this non-coding RNA (185 nucleotides) under Pseudidiomarina indica. RNAcentral's name for it is "6S / SsrS RNA". It matches the Rfam family "6S / SsrS RNA". Rfam says of the family: E. coli 6S RNA was the first non coding RNA to be sequenced, but its function was unknown until recently. It consists of 184 nucleotides that fold into an extended hairpin structure with a large single-stranded internal bulge. The 6S RNA specifically associates with RNA polymerase holoenzyme containing the sigma70 specificity factor. Lineage: Bacteria; Pseudomonadati; Pseudomonadota; Gammaproteobacteria; Alteromonadales; Idiomarinaceae. The record is from Rfam by way of RNAcentral.